Molecule: unclassified non-coding RNA, 236 nt
Filed under: plant metagenome
Description: partial contains small subunit ribosomal RNA, internal transcribed spacer 1, and 5.8S ribosomal RNA
Source: RNAcentral
UCUCCGUAGGUGAACCUGCGGAGGGAUCAUUACAAGUGACCCCGGUCUAACCACCGGGAUGUUCAUAACCCUUUGUUGUCCGACUCUGUUGCCUCCGGGGCGACCCUGCCUUCGGGCGGGGGCUCCGGGUGGACACUUCAAACUCUUGCGUAACUUUGCAGUCUGAGUAAACUUAAUUAAUAAAUUAAAACUUUUAACAACGGAUCUCUUGGUUCUGGCAUCGAGAAGAACGCAGC